Salvelinus sp. IW2-2015 is the source of this 4069-nucleotide non-coding RNA. The record is from RefSeq and is a predicted model, not a curated record. Lineage: Eukaryota; Metazoa; Chordata; Actinopteri; Salmoniformes; Salmonidae.
AUGGACGUUUACGCACACCACGUAAAAUACGUCACAUUUUAUUGGAAACAUGUCGGCAUCUGAGAAAACGUCCAAGGAGUUGUCUGAAAGUGAUGCAUUGGAACCUGAUCCUGAAGUGAGACUCUCAAGCCAGUCGGAUGAAGGUGAUGCAAGUACCAACACAGCAGUGGUUACCAAGGAGACCGAGCCCAUGGGUGGGAGGCUGUCACAGUCGCUAUUUCAGGAGAUUCAGGGAGAUGGUUCGAAAGACGGGGAGGAGAGCGAACGACUAUCAACAACAUCCUCUUCUGUGUCAGUCAGAACCCUCGCAGGACAUGCAGCGAAGAGCCUUCCAUCCACAUCUUCCUCUUCAAUCUCCUCCUCCACUUCCUCUCCUUCUGGCAGAGCAAAGAUGAGUGUUUUUGGUCCUGGAAGUAAAGCUCUCCUGCCACCUCCCUCAUCCUCCUCUCCGCCUCCUGUCCCUGGCCAGACAGUAAAGAUACACCGUGCUCGCAAGACUAUGAACAGACCUCCCCCAACACAGAUGAGGUGCAUCGAGUCACCAAUCGUGCCAGUCAACCCCACAGACCCCACGACCAGCUUCGCGACAGACAGUGAUACUGCAGCAAAAAGGAGAAGGUUGGUCCAGGCAGAGAGCGCUAUAGGCACAGAGCAGAAGCCAGAUCAUGUACUCCGAGAGGCGGCGAGACGGCGUGACAGUUGGCUGGAGGAUGCAGAUGAGAACGAGUUUCUUCUCUAUAACCCCUAUGCAAGAGAUGAUACGGACCCAGCCUACUCCGACUGCAAGUCUGAAGAUGGUGGACUAGAGGAAAGGCUACAUGAAAGAGAUGCAGAUGCAUCUGGUAACAUGUCAGAUCAUAGCUCAGAAUCGGACCCACAGAGGCAGGGCCAGAGGAACGAAGGGAGCAGUGAUUCGCCAUGGACUCGCCCCGGGCGAGGCAAAGGGAGAGAGAGAGCCGAAGGAGUAGAGGCAGGAAGAGCAGUGUUGGCAGCAGCUACUUUUGGUGGGUCCUGCGAGUACACAGAGGUUGCCUUGGGCUCCCUGGACAUCGCGGCAACAGACAACCUAACACUCUCACCUCACCACGAAGGCAGUGACACUGGGGAGACGGAGCGUCUGGAGGAGCUGCCUCUGUGUAGCUGCAGGAUGGAGGCACCACGCGUAGACAGCGCCAGCAGACGGCCCAACAGACUCUGCAUGGCCACAGAGAGCGUGAACGGAGAGCUGGUGGGCUGUACCAAUAUCAUUCAGAAGGGGGAGACCAUGCGGCCGUCCAGUCGGGUUUCCCUCAUUGUGCUGUGCGAAAGCCAUCGGUCACAUAUGGUCAAACAUCACUGCUGCCCUGGAUGUGGAUACUUCUGUAUCGCAGGCACCUUCCUAGAGUGCUGUCCGGACCAGCGCAUCGCCCACCGCUUUCACCGGGGCUGUGUGACAGUGCUGGGGGCUGGAAGGGGCAGGGGCAUGGGCACAGGCAUGCUCUUCUGCCCCCACUGUGGCGAGGAUGCCUCGGAGGCCCAAGAGGUCACCAUCCCCCCCUCAGCAUCCGCGGCCACUGUGGUCACCACUUCCGCCUCGUCCACCACCACACUGUCCCUCCCACCCCCUAUCCCCUCUGACCUCUCCCUGGCGGCCUCCACGUGGCCGCUGAAGAACGGGAAGGGGCCAGUGGGUCCUAUCAGUGCGAGGAUGCGUGGGGUGGUAAAGAGAGACCAGGAUCAGCGCCCCCCCAAAGCCGCUCUGGCAGCAGGGACUGUCAACGCAGCCCCCCCAGGCGAGGGGGGAGUGGACAGUGUGGGACCCUCCCUCUGUCUGCCCAAUGGGAAGCCAGUCUGUCCCAGUGCACUUCCCCCCGGGCCCAGUAGGGCGGCGCUGCAGAAAGCCAUUCUCACCCAGGACUCUGAGAAGAGGAAGAAGCUGAGGUUCCACCCCCGCCAGCUCUAUCCAGCUGCCAAGCAGGGCGAGGUGCAGAGGGUUCUGCUCAUGCUCAUGGAGGGCAUAGACCCAGCCUACCAGGCUGACUCCCAGAACAGACGCUGUGCUCUCCACGUUGCCGCCCAGAGAGGCCUGCUGGAGGUCUGCUACAUGCUGGUGCAGGCAGGUGCUAAACUGGACAUCCAAGACAAAUCCAUGAGGACCCCUCUCCUGGAGGCCAUCGUCAACAACCAUGUGGAGGUGACCAGGUACCUGGUCCAGAGUGGAGCCUGCGUCUAUCACACUGAAGAAGAUGGCUACACUGGUCUCCACCACGCGGCCAAACUGGGCAGUCUGGACAUUGUCACCCUUUUGUUGGAGACGGGACAGGUGGACAUCAACGCACAGGAUAGUGGAGGCUGGACUCCUAUCAUCUGGGCUGCAGAGCACAAGCACAUCAAGGUCAUCAGAGCACUGCUUAACAGGGGGGCUGACGUCACCCUCAAAGACAAGGAGAUGAACGCGUGUCUCCACUGGGCGUCCUUCGCAGGCUGUGUGACGAUAGCAGAGAUGGUGCUGAAUGCCGGCUGCCCGUUGUCUUCUGUCAACAUGCACGGGGACACUCCCCURCACAUCGCUUCCAGGGAGGGCUUCCUCGAUUGUGUAACGCUCUUCCUCUCUAGGGGGGCAGACAUCGACAUCAUGAACAGGGAAGGGGACACCCCUCUUUCUCUGGCGCGUUCCGAUUCGCCCGUCUGGGUGUCACUCCAGAUAAACAGGAAGCUGCGGCGGGGGAUAGCCAAUCGUAUGCUUCGUACAGAGAAGAUCAUCAGCAGUGACGUAGCCCARGGGUAUGAGAACGUGCCUAUCCCCUGUGUGAACGCAGUGGAUGAUGAGGGAUGUCCCUCAGACUACAAGUACGUUUCYGAGAACUGUGAGACUUCAGCCAUGAACAUCGACCGCAACAUCACRCACUUACAGCACUGCAGCUGCACAGAGGACUGCUCYUCCAGCAACUGUCUGUGUGGACAGCUCAGUAUCCGCUGCUGGUACGACAAGGACCACCGGUUGCUCCAGGAGUUCAAUAAGAUUGAACCGCCUCUCAUAUUUGAAUGUAACCUGGCUUGCUCCUGCUACCGCACCUGCAAGAACAGAGUGGUGCAGGCGGGAAUCAAGGUGCGUCUCCAGUUGUACCGAACAGAGAAGAUGGGAUGGGGAGUWCGGGCUCUACAGGACAUUCCCCAAGGCAGCUUCAUCUGCGAAUACGUAGGAGAACUGAUCUCUGACGCAGAGGCAGAUGUAAGGGAAGAUGACUCCUACCUCUUUGACCUGGACAACAAGGACGGGGAGGUGUACUGCAUCGAUGCCCGUUACUACGGUAACAUCAGCCGCUUCAUCAACCACCUGUGCGACCCCAACAUCAUCCCGGUGCGGGUGUUCAUGCUGCACCAGGACCUGCGCUUCCCCCGCAUCGCCUUCUUCAGCUCCCGAGACAUACUGACAGGACAGGAGCUUGGGUUUGAUUAUGGAGACCGCUUCUGGGACAUCAAGAGUAAAUACUUCACCUGCCAGUGUGGAUCAGAGAAAUGCAAACACUCAGCGGAGGCCAUCGCCUUGGAGCAGAGCAGGCUCGCUCGACUGGAGACCUGCCCAGAAUUGGAUACUGACCCUGGGCUUGCCAUGCUAGGAAACUUCUAGGCAUCCCCUGCGGCCUGGUGCAUGUAUUUCUCMGUUUCUACACUCACUCUUACAUUUCGUAUAUGUUUUUGUGCAGUUAUUGUUUGUGUGGUAGACGAGCCUUAACUUUUUCCAUGUAUCUGAUAUAAAUGACUGAAAAAGGUGUCUUCUGUGUAAGACCAUACAUACAGUACAGUAUUUUUUUUUACUAUAAUAUUGCUAUGCCUCUUUGCCAUGAGACAUCAGUGGCACUACAGCAUACUAUGAAAUGCCAGUUAUGCUCACCACAUGCUGUGCCAAAUACAUACUGAACAAUUUAUUUCACAGUACUCUAYCAUGAUACUGUCUACUUGUUAAUUAAUUGAAAAAGUUACCGACAGCUGACUUCCGAGUAGUAUUGAAGUCUGUUUUUAUACAAAAUGUACUUUGUUUUGUCAUUUAAUACAUUUGAUUAAAAUUUUACAAAUGGAUCCACUGUCA